Molecule: ribosomal RNA, 402 nt
Filed under: uncultured bacterium
Lineage: Bacteria
Description: bacterial SSU rRNA
Rfam family: Bacterial small subunit ribosomal RNA
Source: RNAcentral
UGGGGAAUCUUGCACAAUGGGGGCAACCCUGAUGCAGCGACGCCGCGUGAGCGAUGAAGCCCUUCGGGGCGUAAAGCUCUUUCGACCGGAACGAUAAUGACGGUACCGGGAGAAGAAGCUGCGGCUAACUACGUGCCAGCAGCCGCGGUAAUACGUAGGCAGCAAGCGUUGUUCGGAGUUACUGGGCGUAAAGAGUGCGUAGGCGGUUUUCUAAGUUCGGUGUGAAAUCUCCCGGCUUAACUGGGAGGGUGCGCCGAAGACUGGGAAGCUGGAGUGUGGGAAAGGCAGGCGGAAUUCCUGGUUGAGCGGUGAAAUGCGUAGAUAUCAGGAGGAACACCGGCGGUGUAGACGGCUUGCUAGACCAUAACUGACGCUGAGGCACGAAAGCGUGGGUAGCAAACA